GAUGAACGCUGGCGGCGUGCCUAAUACAUGCAAGUCGAGCGAACAGACGAGGAGCUUGCUCCUCUGACGUUAGCGGCGGACGGGUGAGUAACACGUGGAUAACCUACCUAUAAGACUGGGAUAACUUCGGGAAACCGGAGCUAAUACCGGAUAAUAUAUUGAACCGCAUGGUUCAAUAGUGAAAGACGGUUUUGCUGUCACUUAUAGAUGGAUCCGCGCCGCAUUAGCUAGUUGGUAAGGUAACGGCUUACCAAGGCAACGAUGCGUAGCCGACCUGAGAGGGUGAGCGGCAACACGGGAACUGAGACACGGUCCAGACUCCUACGGGAGGCAGAAGUAGGGAAUCGUCCGAAAUGGGCGAAAGCCUGACGGAGCAACGCCGCGUGAGUGAUGAAGGUCUUCGGAGCGUAAAACUCUGUUAUUAGGGAAGAACAAAUGUGUAAGUAACUAUGCACGUCUUGACGGGACCUAAUCAGAAAGCCACGGCUAACUACG
Molecule: ribosomal RNA, 495 nt
Filed under: uncultured bacterium
Lineage: Bacteria
Description: partial 16S ribosomal RNA
Rfam family: Bacterial small subunit ribosomal RNA
Source: RNAcentral